CAGUCGCCACGGUAAUACGAAGGGUGCAAGCGUUACUCGGAAUUACUGGGCGUAAAGCGUGCGUAGGCGGUUUGUUAAGUCUGUUGUGAAAUCCCCGGGCUCAACCUGGGAAUGGCAAUGGAUACUGGCAAGCUAGAGUGUGUCAGAGGAUGGUGGAAUUCCCGGUGUAACGGUGAAAUGCGUAGAGAUCGGGAGGAACAUCAGUGGCGAAGGCGGCCAUCUGGGACAACACUGACGCUGAGGCACGAAAGCGUGGGGAGCAAACAGGAUUAGAUACCCCAGUAGUCCCUGUCUCUUAUAC
RNAcentral lists this ribosomal RNA (301 nucleotides) under uncultured bacterium. RNAcentral describes it as "partial 16S ribosomal RNA". It matches the Rfam family "Bacterial small subunit ribosomal RNA", at positions 509 to 807 of the family's 1533-position model. The record is from RNAcentral.